UACGGAGGAUGCAAGCGUUGUUCGGAAUUAUUGGGCGUAAAGGGCGUGUAGGCGGUUAGCUAAGUCAGAUGUGAAAUCCCUAGGCUUAACUUAGGAACUGCAUUUGAAACUGGUUAGCUAGAGUACGGGAGAGGAAGGUGGAAUUCCUGGUGUAGAGGUGAAAUUCGUAGAUAUCGGGAAGAACACCGGUGGCGAAGGCGGCCUUCUGGCCCGAUACUGACGCUGAUACGCGAAAGCGUGGGGAG
RNAcentral lists this ribosomal RNA (245 nucleotides) under uncultured bacterium. RNAcentral's name for it is "partial 16S ribosomal RNA". It matches the Rfam family "Bacterial small subunit ribosomal RNA", at positions 524 to 768 of the family's 1533-position model. The record is from RNAcentral.